AGGGAUGUUAUUUUGGGCAGUGCAUCUGGACUUGGUUCAAGUGGCACCAGCCAAAUCCCUGCCUUACUGACCUCUCCCCUGGAGGAGCAGGAGCAGCGCUCAAGGCCGCCUUGGGAGGGCUGAGAGGCAGGCUCUGGACUGGGGACACAGGGAUAGCUGAGCCCCAGCUGGGGGUGGAAGCUGAGCCAGAGACAGUCACAGAGGAACAAGAUCAAGAUGCGCUUUAACUGAGAAGCCCCCAAGGCAGAGGCUGAGAAUCAGAAGACAUUUCAGCAGACAUCUACAAAUCUGAAGGACAAAACAUGGUUCAAGCAUCUGGGCACAGGCGAACAUACAUAUGAUAGUUGAGAAAGACACAUAUUCUGAUCAUGAAGAAAUAAACACAAGUUAAAUAUGACUAAGCAGAAAGAUGGAAGGACCAGGAACGGUGAUGCUAACUUGGAACCACGAUGCAGGCUCUAAUCUCCUCUACAAUCAUCCUCCCUUGUGAGAAAAAUACAUAAGAUCUAAGGCACAUGAGAUGAUACGCUUUCUGUUUGAGUUUCUCCUUUAUGUUACGCAUACUGAUAAAAUUGUUGACGCCAGUUGAUCUGAAGGUCCCAGCAAGGAGCCGACUCACAGAAGAAUGCAGUU
RNAcentral lists this long non-coding RNA (633 nucleotides) under Homo sapiens (human). Its description in RNAcentral is "HSALNT0352374". The record is from RNAcentral. Lineage: Eukaryota; Metazoa; Chordata; Mammalia; Primates; Hominidae.